Molecule: ribosomal RNA, 485 nt
Filed under: uncultured bacterium
Lineage: Bacteria
Description: bacterial SSU rRNA
Rfam family: Bacterial small subunit ribosomal RNA
Source: RNAcentral
GAUGAACGCUAGCGGCAGGCUUAAUACAUGCAAGUCGAGGGGCAUCAAGGUACACGAAAGUGUAUUGUUGGCGACCGGCGGACGGGUGAGUAAUAGGUAGGUAACCUACCUCAUACUGAGGCAUAGCUGGGAGAAAUUCCAGGUAAUUCCUCAUGAGGUUAUAUGACACAUGUGAUAUAAUCAAAGGUAUCGCAAGGUACUGGUAUGAGAUGGGCUUACUGACCAUUAGCUAGUUGGUGAGAUAAGAGCUCACCAAGGCGAGGAUGGUUAGGGGUUUGAGAGAGAGAUCCCCCACAUUGGAACUGAGAUACGGUCCAGACUCCUACGGGAGGCAGCAGUAGGGAAUAUUGGGCAAUGGGCGGAAGCCUGACCCAGCCAUGCCGCGUGAAGGAAGACGGCCUUAUGGGUUGUAAACUUCUUUACUAUGCGACUAACUAGAUUUACGAGAUAAUUCUAUAGAAUGUAGCAUAGCAAAAAGCACCGGA